RNAcentral lists this ribosomal RNA (253 nucleotides) under uncultured bacterium. RNAcentral describes it as "partial 16S ribosomal RNA". It matches the Rfam family "Bacterial small subunit ribosomal RNA", at positions 524 to 776 of the family's 1533-position model. The record is from RNAcentral.
UACGUAGGUGGCGAGCGUUGUCCGGAUUUACUGGGCGUAAAGAGCGCGCAGGCGGUCGUACAAGUCGCGUGUGAAAGCCCCCGGCUCAACUGGGGAGGGUCACGCGAUACUGUUCGACUCGAAGGCAGGAGAGGGAAGCGGAAUUCCCGGUGUAGUGGUGAAAUGCGUAGAUAUCGGGAGGAACACCUGUGGCGAAAGCGGCGCACUGGACCACAACUGACGCUGAGGCGCGAAAGCUAGGGGAGCAAACAGG